UUUUUGCUCCGUCAAAGUAUGUGCAUUCCACGACCAAACUAAUGUUCCUAGCUAGCUACCACACACAUUUGAUAUCAUAUCUCGGCCAAAUUAAAUGUUACCAGCAAAGAACUUAAGAUCAUUGUUCGCCAUCCCACAACAAUGCUCUGAUCCAAAUUUCGUGAAGAUCGGCAUUAGGUGGCGCUAUAAUCAAUGUUUAUUUGUUUAGGCCAAUAACUUAAUGCAUUUAAAUGGGACAUUUGCGAUUGUGAUAUCUCUGCUACAGUACAUGGCAUCAACAUGAAACUUUUGGUGCUUGUUCAACAUGCCGCUCUGAGGCUCUGUACCAAGUUUGGCAAAGAUCGGCCUUUAGGGGGCGGUGUAGCCAACGU
Etheostoma spectabile (orangethroat darter) is the source of this 371-nucleotide long non-coding RNA. RefSeq lists it as uncharacterized. Lineage: Eukaryota; Metazoa; Chordata; Actinopteri; Perciformes; Percidae. The record is from RefSeq and is a predicted model, not a curated record. The transcript is spliced from 4 exons.